UGCUUUCAAAAGUUUCCUUUGGAGAAAUAGCUGUUUUGUAAGACCAACACAUUCUGUCAGGCACAUCUAUUGACCACAAAGUUGAGUUGCUCCUCUCUCCCCAAUCUAUUCCGCUCUGAUUGAAGGACCGCGCGAAGGAGGCAGGAGCGUCCACUGUUACACUCAGCAUCAAGCUGACAGCAACAACUCAUGGAGGGAUCGAUGGAGGAUUACCAGGCUCAUGGAGCUGCAUAGAGAAGAGAGCUCAGACUGGGCCUGAUGCUCUCAUUAAACCUUGUCCUGAUCUCUGCCUCAGUCCUGCCUCAUCCCUCAACCUCAACCCUGCCUCACACUCAAUCUCAACCCUCCCUCAGACUCAACCCUGCCUCAGCCUCAGUCCUGCCUCAGCCUCAGCCCUGCCUCAGCCUCAGCCCUGCCUCAACCUUAGCCUUGAUCCUGCCUCUAUCCUCUGCUCAGUCCCAUGCCAGCUUCUCGGCCGGGGGAAAGAGGGGUGAAAGAAGCAGAGCGAGAAAAAAUUAGAAAGUGAAGGAGAGCUACAGUAGAGACAGAAAGGUGAGAGGGAGAUAGAGAGAGAAAGGCAAACAAGUGUGGAAACUUUUACCUCCCCCUCAGGACCUGGCCUCUGCAGGACUCUUAUAAAUGGGCAUUGUUUCCCAGUAAAGCAUACUGCAACUGUUUACAGUUCCACAUAAAGGAUGGCUUUAUUCCUGCCAGGGGAAACGCUGCGACAAGAUCAUUUGAAUAGCUAUAGGGUCUCACUGCAAAGCCAUAAACAUUUACUAGGGGGUUGACACAGGGAAUGGAGAAUGAGGCAUGUGACCUCUGUGUGAUGCCUCCCGACUCCAGAUAAUGACAGGAACCCCAAAGCAGAUUACAGCUAACUCAGAGAAACCCAGAGAUGGAGAGAAAGAGAGGAAAGAUGCGGAAAGAGAGAGGUGGGAGAGAUGGACAAGGAUGGGGAAGGGGCAAAAAGGAAAGAAGGAAGAUAAUGAGAUGGACAUGAUGAAGAGCACCACAGAGGAGACGUAAGCGUAAAGAGGAAGGGGGAGAGAACAGCGAGAGAGUGCAGAGAUCCAGCUCUUUGAUGUCCCCUUUGAGCUGUUCCACAAUGAAAUGGCUGUGUCUUAUUUUUAUGUUUUAUCACAAGAGCCGUGUGCUGAAGCGGGCCCACUAGACCAGGCAGACAGGAAGGCCAUUAGACAGCGAUAUGAGCUGGACAGGGUAGCUAGCUAGGAGA
This is a long non-coding RNA of Osmerus eperlanus (European smelt), 1237 nucleotides long. RefSeq lists it as uncharacterized. The record is from RefSeq and is a predicted model, not a curated record. NCBI's taxonomy places the organism in Eukaryota, Metazoa, Chordata, Actinopteri, Osmeriformes, Osmeridae. The transcript is spliced from 3 exons.